CUGCCUAGAAUUCCAGAAUGAAUCUUGUAGUAAUUCACGAGAGAAACUUGUUAAAAGUACAAACCUAUUGGAAUAUAGUGAAUCGUUACGACUGUACUUAGUCGGCCGCCUCCCAAACUGACCAGAUGUGGAUCAUUCGCAGUGACUCGUAAUCCACCGGAUGCAUUCGGAUCUUUUUUCUUCAAAGACAUCUGAAACGGCAAAGAGAACGUCAAGCAAAUUCCAGUGUCAAGAAAUUCAAUAUCAGAUUAUUCAACAGCGUGACCAAUCAUGUCUCCCAUAUUAUGGAAUUUUUAGAUGCUUUGGACAGAAUAUCAUCAGGAUUUGAAUAAAAAACGUUGAAUCAAAUGUGCCCAGCCGAAUGCAUUGUUGAGUUCACAUUUCAAAUGUGUAUUUACCGUGAAAUUACAUGUGUGAGAUGUUCUGUUCGUCGUGCAAUUAAACACUACUUUCGUGCAACAUGAACAAUGCGUUAAGUGUAGUUUUAACAGAGAUCUUUUGUACCUCGCAAUUUUCUACGAUGCUUUUGUACAGAGUUUGGAAGAUCCAUCAUUUGUCACGUGCGCAACAAUGUGUAUAGUAGAUACAGGUAAAUGCUACGCUAGGAGUUUUUUUAAGUUUCAAUUAUUAUGAGGCAGAGGCAGGUCAUUUGUCGAAAUAAAGAACGAAACUGUUCCCUCAACCUUUUUACAGAUUUUAUCAUGAACCACAAGAUAUUUUUUUCCGCUUUUUUGGUUAAUUGAUUAUUUUUGCAUUUUGAAUAGCUGUUUAACAAGAGCUAGACCAUUUAUGUGAGCCUCUAGAGAUUUAAAUCGAAAUGUUUAGAGAGAGAGAGAACACCAAUGUGGAAAAAGGCGAAGCUCCUGUGGAAUAACUAGAUGGACACUGCUGCAUCACCAGGUGUGGCAAUGUCCAAAUAAAACUGAAGACAGCGGA
Molecule: long non-coding RNA, 936 nt
Organism: Hermetia illucens (black soldier fly)
Lineage: Eukaryota; Metazoa; Arthropoda; Insecta; Diptera; Stratiomyidae
Exons: 3
Source: RefSeq, a predicted model, not a curated record